GGUGACCUGCGGAGGGAUCAUUACAAGUGACCCCGGUCUAACCACCGGGAUGUUCAUAACCCUUUGUUGUCCGACUCUGUUGCCUCCGGGGCGACCCUGCCUUCGGGCGGGGGCUCCGGGUGGACACUUCAAACUCUUGCGUAACUUUGCAGUCUGAGUAAACUUAAUUAAUAAAUUAAAACUUUUAACAACGGAUCUCUUGGUUCUGGCAUCGAUGAAGAACGCAGCGAAAUGCGAUAAGUAAUGUGAAUUGCAGAAUUCAGUGAAUCAUCGAAUCUUUGAACGCACAUUGCGCCCCCUGGUAUUCCGGGGGGCAUGCCUGUUCGAGCGUCAUUUCACCACUCAAGCCUCGCUUGGUAUUGGGCAACGCGGUCCGCCGCGUGCCUCAAAUCGACCGGCUGGGUCUUCUGUCCCCUAAGCGUUGUGGAAACUAUUCGCUAAAGGGUGUUCGGGAGGCUACGCCGUAAAACAACCCCAUUUCUAAGGUUGACCUCGGAUCAGGUAGGGAUACCCGCUGAACUUAAGCAUAUCAAUAAGCGGAGGAAAAGAAACCAACAGGGAUUGCUCUAGUAACGGCGAGUGAAGCAGCAAUAGCUCAAAUUUGAAAUCUGGCGUCUUCGACGUCCGAGUUGUAAUUUGUAGAGGAUGCUUCUGAGUAACCACCGACCUAAGUUCCUUGGAACAGGACGUCAUAGAGGGUGAGAAUCCCGUAUGCGGUCGGAAAGGUGCUCUAUACGUAGCUCCUUCGACGAGUCGAGUUGUUUGGGAAUGCAGCUCU
Molecule: ribosomal RNA, 778 nt
Filed under: fungal endophyte
Lineage: Eukaryota; Fungi
Description: eukaryotic LSU rRNA
Rfam family: Eukaryotic large subunit ribosomal RNA (bases 488-778)
Source: RNAcentral